This 335-nucleotide unclassified non-coding RNA is filed under the name soil metagenome. RNAcentral's name for it is "partial contains 5.8S ribosomal RNA, internal transcribed spacer 2, and large subunit ribosomal RNA". The stretch from base 1 to 120 matches the Rfam family "5.8S ribosomal RNA", at positions 35 to 154 of the family's 154-position model. The record is from RNAcentral.
GAUGAAGAACGCAGCGAAAUGCGAUAAGUAAUGUGAAUUGCAGAAUUCAGUGAAUCAUCGAAUCUUUGAACGCACAUUGCGCCCGCCAGUAUUCUGGCGGGCAUGCCUGUUCGAGCGUCAUUUCAACCAUCAAGCCCCAGGCUUGUGUUGGGGACCUGCGGCUGCCGCAGGCCCUGAAAACCAGUGGCGGGCUCGCUAGUCACACCGAGCGUAGUAGCAUACACAUCGCUCAGGGCGUGCUGCGGGUUCCGGCCGUUAAACCCCUUUUUUACCCAAGGUUGACCUCGGAUCAGGUAGGAAGACCCGCUGAACUUAAGCAUAUCAUAAGCGGAGGA